CCUACGGGAGGCAGCAGUGGGGAAUCUUGCGCAAUGGGCGAAAGCCUGACGCAGCCAUGCCGCGUGAAUGAUGAAGGUCUUAGGAUUGUAAAAUUCUUUCACCGGGGACGAUAAUGACGGUACCCGGAGAAGAAGCCCCGGCUAACUUCGUGCCAGCAGCCGCGGUAAUACGAAGGGGGCUAGCGUUGCUCGGAAUUACUGGGCGUAAAGGGAGCGUAGGCGGAUAGUUUAGUCAGAGGUGAAAGCCCAGGGCUCAACCUUGGAAUUGCCUUUGAUACUGGCUAUCUUGAGUGUGGGAGAGGUAUGUGGAACUCCGAGUGUAGAGGUGAGAUUCGUAGAUAUUCGGAAGAACACCAGUGGCGAAGGCGACAUACUGGCCCAUUACUGACGCUGAGGCUCGAAAGCGUGGGGAGCAAACAGGAUUAGAUACCCUGGUAGUCCACGCUGUAAACGAUGAGUGCUAGUUGUCGGCAGGCAUGCCUGUCGGUGACGCAGCUAACGCAUUAAGCACUCCGCCUGGGGAGUACGGUCGCAAGAAUUAAAACUCAAAUUGAAAUUGACGGCUUGAGACGNGCGAGAGACACGAGGAGAG
Molecule: ribosomal RNA, 592 nt
Filed under: uncultured bacterium
Lineage: Bacteria
Description: bacterial SSU rRNA
Rfam family: Bacterial small subunit ribosomal RNA
Source: RNAcentral